This 1410-nucleotide ribosomal RNA is filed under the name Triticum aestivum (bread wheat). RNAcentral describes it as "partial small subunit ribosomal RNA". Lineage: Eukaryota; Viridiplantae; Streptophyta; Magnoliopsida; Poales; Poaceae. The record is from RNAcentral.
UACUUUUCGAUAAAAAAGUUUAAAGAGUUGUAAAAAUCUUUGUGUUUAUAAAACAGUUUACAGGUUUGUACGGGGUCGCCGCUUAAAAGGCGUGCACCGUCGUGAUGCGUGCGUGUGUGGAGGUACAGAUCGGGUCCUGGGUUUGGUUUAUCAGGGUCUUUACAACUGUGCAGUGGUCGGAGGGAGGUGGGAUGGUGCGGGAGAGAGCAGAGGGAGUGCGACAGAGCGUUAGCAAGGAGAGGUGGGUGACAGUAGUAGUUCUUUUUUUCUUAGCAAGGAGAGGUGGAGGGACUGCGCAGCGUGGCCGCCGGCUGCGCCGUAGCCGCCGCCUCUUCCACGACAAUCUAGCUGACAGAUUCUUUUAUAUCUCCCCAGAAAGACAGGAGACGAGCAUGGACUUCGUUCGCACCUCCCCGACGAGAUUAUCCAGAUACGUGGGACACAGUUAGAGGAAAGUUGGUAAGUGACGUUGAGGUCGCCCGUUAAAAGGGAGUUCCUGGUGAUUACACUCCAGAGCGGCACUAAAACAGUUCAACGGCUGUCAACUUUCUUCAUCACCUAUGGCACGGUACUUAAGGCCUGGUUUAAGACGAAGGUCCAGACUUUACUGACCCCUUGUCCUAAUACGACACCCUCUCUUACUACCACACUAGUAUCAGCUGGUACCCAGUGCCGCUGUCCUUAGAUUAGAGUACGAUUUGCUAAAACAAUGAUACAAGUCCCGUUCCUGACCGAUGUCCUAACAACUCGGACGAGUGUACCUCGAGCGACUCGGAUGGUAAUUUCUUCGUAAACCUUUUACACAGGUCGUUCCUCGUAGGGCGUAAUAACAGUCGGGUAUAAAGGAGAGUGGACCUGCCGUGACCUUUGUUCUAUAUGGAAGAAAUCGUCGUCUUCGGAGAUUUGUCGUGAGAUUGCACCGGAUGUAACAGUGACGAGGAGAACCUAACGUACUCGAAUACCACCUAUAAUACUUACUGGCGUAGUUCAUGACGGACUCCGUGCAACGUCCGCUACGGCUACUCACACGUCAUACACGACCCUGACCUUUCACGGUGGAGAUGAGGACUACUACUACUGUACACUCGACGAGCUUUCAGAUUAGUCCUGUGGAACAAAAAGAGAGUAACCGUCGCGUCUAACUACCGACUCCGGUUAUAAAGGUAGAACAAUUGGGUACGAGGAACAAUAGACGGUACACUAGUCUUUUGUAACAUUGUUACUAGAGCCGCCAAAACAAGUCGAACAUCUAGAUCUCACAAAAGUCAUCAGACUUGUUCUAUGGUACUGUUCUCUCACAUUUAAACAGUACAUUUAGUUUGUGACGGACCAUACGUGGUGUUGUUUAAACAAUACGGGGACGUUCUUUUUUUUACAAUGCCUUUACAGACCUUACUGCGAGGUAGCGGU